CAGCAGGAUUUGCACCAAAGAGUUUUUCCUACUCUGGAAAUCUGCCCGCAAGGUAUUUGUUGCAUCCACCACUGCUGGACUUAAUAUCUCACUCAAUCACUCAAAGGACCAACAGCAUUCAAUCAAUUGAUUUUUGUCCUGCAACAAGCCAUGUACACAUGCUUCCAGAGCUACGCAAUUAGCUACGGCAGCAGGUGCAUUUCCCCAGAGGUGUUCAUAACUGGAACUAGCAUUGACACUAGUUUCGAUUGAUAACUGUAACUGUCAUCAAACAGAAAACAUGCCUUCCAGAGAUCACAUUUCCACUUUAAGACUUCAAAAAUAAACUAUAUGGCAGAAUUGACUCUGCUAAGCUUAUUUUCCACCAAAAGCUAUGAUCUAACCCAUUCGAAGUUUGUCUCAAACCCAUUCGAAGUUUGUCUCUUUGGGCAAAACCAAAGCAAUCAGGCAGUUGGAUGAAUCAGGUGCAAUAGAAAGCAUUGAACAGGUUUCAUGCGAGUAGGGAAGUAUGAAGAGAAGCCUUGCCCACAUGGAUUUCACAGCUGGGAUUUUAAUUACUCCAGCACAAUCCCUUUGCUUCAAGUAUGAUAUGAAGUCCUGAAAGCCUUUUUGAUCACUCACAGAAGAUGGAAUCAACAGGCACACCUCCCUUUUAUGUGGUGGAGUACUUGUAAAUGUUGAUUUCACAUGCCGAAAAUCUGUGCGUUUGGUCAUAUCUAGUUUAGAGGGCCAUUCCACAGGUUCAGAAACUGGACUUGAAUAUUUGCAAAUAUCAGAAUUAACUCUAUAUGCAUAAAUUGUGCAAUAAUGAACCCCACUUUUACAUAAUGUGCCCUGCCACUGAUAUUGCUUAGACCUUCCAGAAUUUUCCACAUCAGUUGAUUCUGAAAAGGGUGGAGGUGGAGGAGGAGCAGGUGGCGGGGAUGGUGGCAAUGGAGGGGGUAUUUCAGGCUGGGGUGGUAUAGAUGCUAAAGGUGGCGGUACAACAGGUGGAGGGGGAAGUGGCGGGGGGGGGGGGAUUUUAGGGGCAUAGAUGAUAAGGGGGGUGGAACAACAGGUAAGGAGAACAUUUGGUCAAAUUGUUGCAUUGGAGGUCUAUGUAUCUGUGCUAAUGGAGUGACAGAAGCAGGUAUAAAAGGGGGUGCAACAGUGCUACCCUGAAAGCUAUUGGGCACUACCACUGGUGAGAUUGGGUUCAAAGGAACAUGAUGAUUUGAACCUCGUGGAUCCCAUGCACUGUUUGGAGGAAGGUAAACAGGUCGGACAAAUUGAGAUGGCUGGAACUGCUGUGGUGGGAGAAUAGGUCGUCCCUGAGCUCCUAUGGGUACGCUUGGAAUGCUCCCAGGUGCAGGAUGCAACUCCAUUUCAUUUUUCUUGUACAUCCAAGUUUG
This 1391-nucleotide unclassified non-coding RNA is filed under the name Hevea brasiliensis (rubber tree). Lineage: Eukaryota; Viridiplantae; Streptophyta; Magnoliopsida; Malpighiales; Euphorbiaceae. The record is from RNAcentral.